GCCCAGAUGGCGGAAUUGGUAGACGCGCCAGACUCAAAAUCUGGUUUUCGCAAGAAAGUGCAGGUUCGAUUCCUGUUCUGGGCA
Molecule: transfer RNA, 84 nt
Filed under: Chitinophagaceae bacterium
Lineage: Bacteria; Pseudomonadati; Bacteroidota; Chitinophagia; Chitinophagales; Chitinophagaceae
Also listed under: 2 other names
Description: tRNA-Leu
Rfam family: tRNA
About the family: Transfer RNA (tRNA) molecules are approximately 80 nucleotides in length. Their secondary structure includes four short double-helical elements and three loops (D, anti-codon, and T loops). Further hydrogen bonds mediate the characteristic L-shaped molecular structure. tRNAs have two regions of fundamental functional importance: the anti-codon, which is responsible for specific mRNA codon recognition, and the 3' end, to which the tRNAs corresponding amino acid is attached (by aminoacyl-tRNA synthetases). tRNAs cope with the degeneracy of the genetic code in two manners: having more than one tRNA (with a specific anti-codon) for a particular amino acid; and 'wobble' base-pairing, i.e. permitting non-standard base-pairing at the 3rd anti-codon position.
Source: RNAcentral